Molecule: ribosomal RNA, 1513 nt
Filed under: Lactiplantibacillus pentosus
Lineage: Bacteria; Bacillati; Bacillota; Bacilli; Lactobacillales; Lactobacillaceae
Description: bacterial SSU rRNA
Rfam family: Bacterial small subunit ribosomal RNA
Source: RNAcentral
GGACGAACGCUGGCGGCGUGCCUAAUACAUGCAAGUCGAACGAACUCUGGUAUUGAUUGGUGCUUGCAUCAUGUUUUACAUUUGAGUGAGUGGCGAACUGGUGAGUAACACGUGGGAAACCUGCCCAGAAGAGGGGGAUAACACCUGGAAACAGAUGCUAAUACCGCAUAACAACUUGGACCGCAUGGUCCGAGUUUGAAAGAUGGCUUCGGCUAUCACUUUUGGAUGGUCCCGCGGCGUAUUAGCUAGAUGGUGAGGUAACGGCUCACCAUGGCAAUGAUACGUAGCCGACCUGAGAGGGUAAUCGGCCACAUUGGGACUGAGACACGGCCCAAACUCCUACGGGAGGCAGCAGUAGGGAAUCUUCCACAAUGGACGAAAGUCUGAUGGAGCAACGCCGCGUGAGUGAAGAAGGGUUUCGGCUCGUAAAACUCUGUUGUUAAAGAAGAACAUAUCUGAGAGUAACUGUUCAGGUAUUGACGGUAUUUAACCAGAAAGCCACGGCUAACUACGUGCCAGCAGCCGCGGUAAUACGUAGGUGGCAAGCGUUGUCCGGAUUUAUUGGGCGUAAAGCGAGCGCAGGCGGUUUUUUAAGUCUGAUGUGAAAGCCUUCGGCUCAACCGAAGAAGUGCAUCGGAAACUGGGAAACUUGAGUGCAGAAGAGGACAGUGGAACUCCAUGUGUAGCGGUGAAAUGCGUAGAUAUAUGGAAGAACACCAGUGGCGAAGGCGGCUGUCUGGUCUGUAACUGACGCUGAGGCUCGAAAGUAUGGGUAGCAAACAGGAUUAGAUACCCUGGUAGUCCAUACCGUAAACGAUGAAUGCUAAGUGUUGGAGGGUUUCCGCCCUUCAGUGCUGCAGCUAACGCAUUAAGCAUUCCGCCUGGGGAGUACGGCCGCAAGGCUGAAACUCAAAGGAAUUGACGGGGGCCCGCACAAGCGGUGGAGCAUGUGGUUUAAUUCGAAGCUACGCGAAGAACCUUACCAGGUCUUGACAUACUAUGCAAAUCUAAGAGAUUAGACGUUCCCUUCGGGGACAUGGAUACAGGUGGUGCAUGGUUGUCGUCAGCUCGUGUCGUGAGAUGUUGGGUUAAGUCCCGCAACGAGCGCAACCCUUAUUAUCAGUUGCCAGCAUUAAGUUGGGCACUCUGGUGAGACUGCCGGUGACAAACCGGAGGAAGGUGGGGAUGACGUCAAAUCAUCAUGCCCCUUAUGACCUGGGCUACACACGUGCUACAAUGGAUGGUACAACGAGUUGCGAACUCGCGAGAGUAAGCUAAUCUCUUAAAGCCAUUCUCAGUUCGGAUUGUAGGCUGCAACUCGCCUACAUGAAGUCGGAAUCGCUAGUAAUCGCGGAUCAGCAUGCCGUGGUGAAUACGUUCCCGGGCCUUGUACACACCGCCCGUCACACCAUGAGAGUUUGUAACACCCAAAGUCGGUGGGGUAACCUUUUAGGAACCAGCCGCCUAAGGUGGGACAGAUGAUUAGGGUGAAGUCGUAACAAGGUAGCCGUAG